GUGGGGAAUAUUGGACAAUGGGCGAAAGCCUGAUCCAGCAAUGCCGCGUGAGUGAUGAAGGCCUUAGGGUUGUAAAGCUCUUUUACCAGGGAUGAUAAUGACAGUACCUGGAGAAUAAGCUCCGGCUAACUCCGUGCCAGCAGCCGCGGUAAUACGGAGGGAGCUAGCGUUGUUCGGAAUUACUGGGCGUAAAGCGCGCGUAGGCGGUUUAUCAAGUCAGGGGUGAAAUCCCGGGGCUCAACCCCGGAACUGCCCUUGAAACUGGUUCACUAGAAUCCUGGAGAGGCGAGUGGAAUUCCGAGUGUAGAGGUGAAAUUCGUAGAUAUUCGGAAGAACACCAGUGGCGAAGGCGACUCGCUGGACAGGUAUUGACGCUGAGGUGCGAAAGCGUGGGGAGCAAACAGGAUUAGAUACCCCAGUAGUCC
RNAcentral lists this ribosomal RNA (425 nucleotides) under uncultured bacterium. RNAcentral describes it as "bacterial SSU rRNA". It matches the Rfam family "Bacterial small subunit ribosomal RNA", at positions 354 to 796 of the family's 1533-position model. The record is from RNAcentral.